RNAcentral lists this unclassified non-coding RNA (2825 nucleotides) under Hevea brasiliensis (rubber tree). The record is from RNAcentral. Lineage: Eukaryota; Viridiplantae; Streptophyta; Magnoliopsida; Malpighiales; Euphorbiaceae.
GAGAGAGAGAGAGAGAGAGAGAACACUCAAUUAAGAGAAUUUUAUACUUCUCUUCUUGGAAGAUAAAACUAAUUAAUUCUGCUAUUUGUCAUCAAGGAACCAAGAAACUGCAUGAAAAUACACCACCCAAUAUUUGGACUAAUGAUCAUUGCACUAUUAGAGAAAGCACGAUUCUACAAUAUAUAUGUAUAUAAAAAUCCCAAGAAAACAUAAAUAUAAGUGGAAACUCGAAAUGACAAAAGAACAACUAGCAAUAGCACAUCGGGGUGUUAAGCUAGCUUUCAAUAAGGGGCUUGAUGGUAAGAAAUGAAGGAGGAGAAGCUAAAGAAGGUCUCUCUAGAAAAGUAGCAAGGAAAUAAGAACUUGCUCAUCAACUAAAAUAUGUCAAGGUCACACCACAUACUUCAUUUGAAGUCCAGAAGCUAAAUAUGCUGAAACUGUAAAUAGACAAACAACUAUCCACUUGCUAAAUGCCCUAUUUAUGCGAUAUGGGAAGAUGAAGAUCUUAAUGUAAAAUAAGGAAAUUAGUAUUUCACUUAUUUAGGAAGUCUAUUAAUAUUAUUAUUAUAUUUAAGGAUUAUUUUAUUUAGGAAGUUUAAUUGGUUUAGUAUUCUUAAUUAGAUAUAAAUUAGGGCUUCCUAAUCCUAAUUUAAUUAGAGUUGUAAGAUCUAUAAAUAGAGCUAAUUUUUCUAUUAUUCAGUAGCUUUGGACUAUGAUUAAUCAAGAACAAUACAAUUUGAGAAUUAGUUCUUUUUCCCGAAGGAUUUGCUCCUUUUCUUUACCCUUGUUCCUUUUUUUCCACAUCACCUAUACUGAGCAUUUGUCAUCUCACCUUCAACCCACUUAGCAAGAACAGCCAAAAUGUGUACAACAUGCCCAGUAAAAUAAAGGUUCAGUAACAACAAAUAAUACUAUGAACUAAAAAUGUAGGACAAGAUGCCUUCUGUGUUCAGGCCAUGGAUCAUAAGAGUACAUCAUUCUAUCACCCACAUUUUUGUUUUUUAUCAAGAGAAGAAGAGAAUACUGAUAUUCAUGAAGGAAAGAUUAUAACCUAUCCUGCUGUAAAAGAGCAGCUAACUGCUGAGAGGGAUUAGAACUCCAACCCUGAAGCAGGGAGCCAACUCUAACAGUAAUGCCAACCAAUUAGCACAACUAUUAGCAUCUCUACGGACAUAACAAACUGAAAACAAAGGAUAGGAAUCCAACAUUACACGAAGGUCAUGCAUAACAGCUUGGAUCUCCCAUGGAAUGGGAAGGGACAUAUCUGACAGCAACUUAAUAAGAAGCUGAGAGUCUGACUCCAGAAUUACUGAUGAGUAGCCUCUUUUGAUAACAAAAAGGACAGCCUCUCUUAACGCUACACCUUCGAUACCCAAAGGGGAGAGAGCAGUAAACGUAGCAGCACAUCCAUCUAUCAUACUACCCUCUGCAUUGCGCACAAUAAUCCCAUACCCAGCCAUUGAAUUGUCACUCUUAAAAGAUGCAUUGACAUUAACUUUUACAGAACCCAGAUUAGAAGCAAUCCAUCUAACCUGCAAAGGAGCUGGGGAAGCAUUACUUGACAGCUGAGAAUGAUGUUGCGGAGUAGCCAAUGAUCGCACCUCUUCAACAGCAUUCUGGGCUUUACGGAUAGUCAAAACUGGAUUCGGUGGAGAAUAAUUAAAAAUAGCAGCAUUUCGCAUUUUCCAAAUGUUCCAACAAAUUAAACCAGCUAAGCAAAGAACAUAUCUAUCACUAGAAUUCAAUACUUCUUGCAAUCGUUGCCACCAAUCACCAAAAGUAGAAAAGCCAAUCUCAUUAGGAGAAAAACCCAAUCUAGAUCCAAACCAUGUUGCUUUCGCAUGAGAACAAAAAAACAAAAGAUACUCCAAAGUUUCCUCAUGAUAAUUACACAAAGGAUAAGCAGGGGAGGCCACACAUUUUCUUUUAAAUAAAUUGGCACUAGUGGCUAAUGAUUCACUACUAGCUCUCCAUAAAAAGGUGCAGACCUUACAAGGGAGAUCUAGAGACCAAAUGCUCUUCCAAAACUGCAGUAGGGGCCUCCUUGAUGUCACUGGAGAAAAAUUUGAGAAAGAUGAAACCUACCAUUUAUUCAACAUAAAAUACAGAGACUUUCCAGUAGGCUCCCCGUGAUUUGUAAAGUGCCAAAUUAUACCUAGCUUUGGGGCAGAGUUCCCCAACAGAAUCUUCAUAAUUUCCUCACAUUCCUCCAUUGUGAAAGAAUCUCUUAAUAUGCAUGGAUCCCAUUUCUUAGACUCCCCAUUGAUGAGGUCUGCCACAUAAAUUAUAGGACUAUCAUAGGGGUGCAAAUUAUUAAUUUUAAAAUUACGUAAAGUUGGAAUCCACGGAUCAUUCCAAGCAUUAAUAAAAGCAGGUCCCGUAAUGUUCCAUCUCAAACCAUUUUUCAGUGCGUCCUGCCCAUCCAACACAUUGUUCCAGCCCCAGGAGGGAUGAUAGCCUCUCUGAGCAUCAAGAAAAUCAGAAUAAGGAAAAUAAAUUCCUUUCAAUAUUUGCACCCGCAGAGCUUGGGAAUUCUUUAUAAUUCUCCAAGCCUGUUUUGCUAGGAGAACUAAAUUAAACAAGCUGAGAUCUUUGAAGCCCAUCCCUCCUUCACGCUUGUUCCAGGAAAGUUUAUUCCAACUUAACCCGUGAAUAGUCCCUCUAUCCAAUGAAUUGCGCCACCAAAAUUUUGCUACCAUCUGAUGCAAUUCCCCGAUCAAUCCAACUGGAAGCUUAAAAACUGACAUUACAAAGGAAGGAAUCGCUUGCACAACUGCUUUGAGAAGGACUUCUUUCCCAGCAAGAGAUAAAAAAAAUAAAAAAAA